This 772-nucleotide long non-coding RNA is filed under the name Homo sapiens (human). RNAcentral's name for it is "non-protein coding lnc-MVP-3:17". Lineage: Eukaryota; Metazoa; Chordata; Mammalia; Primates; Hominidae. The record is from RNAcentral.
AUAGCGUCCGGUAGCGACACGGAGCCGGCUCCCCCUUUUCCAGCCUUCCUCCCCAUCUCCCAUUCUCCAUCCCCCACGACCUAUACCAGAGGUCCUUAGGCCUCCACGUCUCUCCUUUUGCCGAGUAGCCCAAGGUUUCCACCCAUCUGCCAGGUCUGGGGCGUCAAGUCGGCUGCCUCGGCUUGGGAAGGUGCUUGGGAGGGAAGAAGGAAGGAGAGGCCCACCAGGCGAAGGGGUGAGGGGUAGGGGGUUGCGGGAGUUCCCUCUCACUCCCGAAGAUAUAAAGCAACCUUUAUUAUUAUUAUUAUUUUUUCUUGUGAGAGGGAAUGAGGCAGCGGGAUGUUUCCUCUAAAGGCCUUGUUUAAACCUGGGCCCGGGGAAUGGUGGUGGACUGGGUUCUGGGGGAAAGCGGGCUGGUUUCUCAGGUCAACUCAGGCUUCGACUGUUCCCAGGGGGAUGGCGUCCACUCCGAUGGGGAAUGAGGGGGAGAAGAAGAGCAGCUGGCCAUCUCAAGCUGCACCCUCCUUGAGAGGAGGUCCGGCUUCGUUAUCUCGUUCUGAGGAAUACCUGUCCCAGAUCAGUGCAGAACUCAUGGAGGAGGCUUUGUGCACUGCUUGCUGCCACUUGAACCCUGUGCCCAUCAAAAAAAAGCAGUCACAAGACCAAGCGACUCAGAUAUCCAAACGCGCAUUCUUCACCAAGACCUGAGGCACAGACACCUGGUGAGUGAGGCUUCAAGGGAGAUGCUCUUUGUCCUGGGAGAGAGAAACCG